CCUACGGGAGGCAGCAGUGGGGAAUAUUGGACAAUGGGCGCAAGCCUGAUCCAGCAAUGCCGCGUGAGUGAAGAAGGCCUUAGGGUUGUAAAGCUCUUUUGCCCGGGAAGAUAAUGACGGUACCGGGAGAAUAAGCCCCGGCUAACUCCGUGCCAGCAGCCGCGGUAAU
Molecule: ribosomal RNA, 169 nt
Filed under: uncultured bacterium
Lineage: Bacteria
Description: partial 16S ribosomal RNA
Rfam family: Bacterial small subunit ribosomal RNA
Source: RNAcentral